Molecule: unclassified non-coding RNA, 337 nt
Filed under: soil metagenome
Description: partial contains 5.8S ribosomal RNA, internal transcribed spacer 2, and large subunit ribosomal RNA
Rfam family: 5.8S ribosomal RNA (bases 1-120)
Source: RNAcentral
GAUGAAGAACGUAGCGAAAUGCGAUAAGUAGUGUGAAUUGCAGAAUUCAGUGAAUCAUCGAAUCUUUGAACGCACAUUGCGCCCCUUGGUAUUCCAUGGGGCAUGCCUGUACGAGCGUCAUUUGUACCUUCAAGCUCUGCUUGGUGUUGGGUGUUUGUCUCGCCUCUGCGUGUAGACUCGCCUCAAAACAAUUGGCAGCCGGCGUAUUGAUUUCGGAGCGCAGUACAUCUCGCGCUUUGCACUCAUAACGACGACGUCCAAAAGUACAUUUUUACACUCUUGACCUCGGAUCAGGUAGGGAUACCCGCUGAACUUAAGCAUAUCAAUAAGCGGAGGA